UACGUAGGUGGCAAGCGUUGUCCGGAAUUACUGGGCGUAAAGAGCGCGUAGGCGGCUAUUUAAGUCAGGUGUGAAAACUUGGGGCUCAACCUCAAGACUGCACUUGAAACUGGAUAGCUUGAGGGCAAGAGAGGAAAGUGGAAUUCCCAGUGUAGCAGUGAAAUGCGUAGAUAUUGGGAGGAACACCAGUGGCGAAGGCGACUUUCUGGCUUGUACCUGACGCUGAGGCGCGAAAGCGUGGGGAGCGAAC
RNAcentral lists this ribosomal RNA (250 nucleotides) under uncultured bacterium. RNAcentral describes it as "partial 16S ribosomal RNA". It matches the Rfam family "Bacterial small subunit ribosomal RNA", at positions 524 to 773 of the family's 1533-position model. The record is from RNAcentral.